AACGUAGGAGGCUAGCGUUAUCCGGAUUUACUGGGCGUAAAGCGCGUGUAGGUGGCUCGCUAAGUCGAAUGUUAAAGCCCCUGGCUUAACUGGGGGAGGUCAUUUGAUACUGGCGGACUUGAGGGUAGGAGAGGAGAGUGGAAUUCCCGGUGUAGCGGUGGAAUGCGUAGAGAUCGGGAGGAACACCAGUGGCGAAAGCGGCUCUCUGGCCUGCACCUGACACUGAGACGCGAAAGCGUGGGGAGCAAACGGG
This 253-nucleotide ribosomal RNA is filed under the name uncultured bacterium. Its description in RNAcentral is "partial 16S ribosomal RNA". It matches the Rfam family "Bacterial small subunit ribosomal RNA", at positions 524 to 776 of the family's 1533-position model. The record is from RNAcentral.